Arabidopsis thaliana (thale cress) is the source of this 191-nucleotide non-coding RNA. Lineage: Eukaryota; Viridiplantae; Streptophyta; Magnoliopsida; Brassicales; Brassicaceae. The record is from RefSeq.
AAUUUCAGAGAUACUAAUCCAAGAGAUGGCGGAUACGUUUUACAAUCACGAAUCUUGUAUGAUCACUAACCAUUGGAACAAUAAGAGUAUAUAAUGAGUAUAUCACCAUUUAGUUCUAGUGGGUGGUGAUCAUAUAAGAUUGGUAAUGGUAACAGUGAAACAUAUCCCCCAUCUAUUGGGAUUAAUUAGUC